Molecule: ribosomal RNA, 154 nt
Filed under: Streptomyces tamarix
Lineage: Bacteria; Bacillati; Actinomycetota; Actinomycetes; Kitasatosporales; Streptomycetaceae
Also listed under: 1 other name
Description: partial 23S ribosomal RNA
Rfam family: Bacterial large subunit ribosomal RNA
Source: RNAcentral
GGCCAAGUUUUUAAGGGCGCACGGUGGAUGCCUUGGCACCAGGAACCGAUGAAGGACGUGGGAGGCCACGAUAGUCCCCGGGGAGUCGUCAACCAGGCUUUGAUCCGGGGGUUUCCGAAUGGGGAAACCCGGCAGUCGUCAUGGGCUGUCACCC